CCUACGGGUGGCUGCAGUCGAGAAUCAUUCACAAUGGGGGAAACCCUGAUGGUGCGACGCCGCGUGGGGGAAUGAAGGUCUUCGGAUUGUAAACCCCUGUCAUGUGGGAGCAAAUUAAAAAGAUAGUACCUAUAAAGGAAGCACCGGCUAACUCCGUGCCAGCAGCCGCGGUAAUACGGGGGGUGCAAGCGUUGUCCGGAAUCAUUGGGCGUAAAGCGUUCGUAGGCGGCAAGGUAAGUCUGAUGUUGAAGCCCGGGGCUCAACUCCGGUUCGGCAUUGGAUACUAUCUAGCUAGAAUGUGGUAGAGGUAAAGGGAAUUCCUGGUGUAGCGGUGAAAUGCGUAGAUAUCAGGAGGAACAUCGGUGGCGAAAGCGCUUUACUGGACCAUUAUUGACGCUGAGGAACGAAAGCCAGGGGAGCAAAUGGGAUUAGAUACCCUGGUAGUC
RNAcentral lists this ribosomal RNA (446 nucleotides) under uncultured bacterium. RNAcentral describes it as "partial 16S ribosomal RNA". It matches the Rfam family "Bacterial small subunit ribosomal RNA", at positions 338 to 795 of the family's 1533-position model. The record is from RNAcentral.